This 460-nucleotide ribosomal RNA is filed under the name uncultured bacterium. RNAcentral describes it as "partial 16S ribosomal RNA". It matches the Rfam family "Bacterial small subunit ribosomal RNA", at positions 338 to 795 of the family's 1533-position model. The record is from RNAcentral.
CCUACGGGAGGCAGCAGUGAGGAAUAUUGGUCAAUGGGCGCGAGCCUGAACCAGCCAAGUCGCGUGAGGGAAGACGGCCCUAUGGAUUGUAAACCUCUUUUGUCGGGGAGCAAAAGACGCCACGCGUGGCGUUUCGAGAGUACCCGAAGAAAAAGCACCGGCUAACUCCGUGCCAGCAGCCGCGUUAAUACGGAGGAUUCAAGCGUUUUCCGGAUUUAUUGGGUUUAAAGGGUGCGUAGGCGGUAGUGUAAUUAAGAGGUGAAAUCCUGCGGCCCAAACUCGGAAUUGCCUCUAAUACUGUUCGGCUAGAGAGUACUUGAGGUAGGCGGAAUGUGUGGUGUAGCGGUGAAAUGCUUAGAGAUCAUGCAGAACGCCGAUUGCGAAGGCAGCUUACCAAGCUACUUCUGACGUUGAGGCACGAAAGCGUGGGGAGCAAACAGGAUUAGAUACCCCAGUAGUC